GGUCCGGUGGUGUAGUGGUUAACAUGCUUGCCUGUCACGCAGGAGAUCACGGGUUCAAAUCCCGUCCGGACCGCCA
This 76-nucleotide transfer RNA is filed under the name Candidatus Phytoplasma sacchari. RNAcentral's name for it is "tRNA-Asp". It matches the Rfam family "tRNA". From Rfam's summary of the family: Transfer RNA (tRNA) molecules are approximately 80 nucleotides in length. Their secondary structure includes four short double-helical elements and three loops (D, anti-codon, and T loops). Further hydrogen bonds mediate the characteristic L-shaped molecular structure. tRNAs have two regions of fundamental functional importance: the anti-codon, which is responsible for specific mRNA codon recognition, and the 3' end, to which the tRNAs corresponding amino acid is attached (by aminoacyl-tRNA synthetases). tRNAs cope with the degeneracy of the genetic code in two manners: having more than one tRNA (with a specific anti-codon) for a particular amino acid; and 'wobble' base-pairing, i.e. permitting non-standard base-pairing at the 3rd anti-codon position. The record is from RNAcentral. Lineage: Bacteria; Bacillati; Mycoplasmatota; Mollicutes; Acholeplasmatales; Acholeplasmataceae.